Non-coding RNA from Podarcis lilfordi (Lilford's wall lizard), 69 nucleotides. Lineage: Eukaryota; Metazoa; Chordata; Lepidosauria; Squamata; Lacertidae. The record is from the annotation of a GenBank genome assembly.
GUUGUGGCUCAGUGGUAGGACAUCUGCUUUGCAUGCAGAAGGUCCCCAGUUCACUCCCUGGCAUCUCCA